Molecule: ribosomal RNA, 705 nt
Filed under: Candidatus Phytoplasma solani
Lineage: Bacteria; Bacillati; Mycoplasmatota; Mollicutes; Acholeplasmatales; Acholeplasmataceae
Description: bacterial SSU rRNA
Rfam family: Bacterial small subunit ribosomal RNA
Source: RNAcentral
GAUAAAACCAGUGUUGAAGUUAACACAUUAAGUACUCCGCCUGAGUAGUACGUACGCAAGUAUGAAACUUAAAGGAAUUGACGGGACUCCGCACAAGCGGUGGAUCAUGUUGUUUAAUUCGAAGGUACCCGAAAAACCUCACCAGGUCUUGACAUGCUUUUGCAAAGCUGUAGAAAUACAGUGGAGGUUAUCAGAAGCACAGGUGGUGCAUGGUUGUCAUCAGCUCGUGUCGUGAGAUGUUGGGUUAAGUCCCGCAACGAGCGCAACCCUUGUUGUUAAUUGCCAUCAUUAAGUUGGGGACUUUAGCAAGACUGCCAAUGAUAAAUUGGAGGAAGGUGGGGACGACGUCAAAUCAUCAUGCCCCUUAUGACUUGGGCUACAAACGUGAUACAACGGCUGUUACAAAGGGUAGCUAAAGCGUAAGCUUCUGGCGAAUCUCAAAAAAGCAGUCUCAGUUCGGAUUGAAGUCUGCAACUCGACUUCAUGAAGUUGGAAUCGCUAGUAAUCGCGAAUCAGCAUGUCGCGGUGAAUACGUUCUCGGGGUUUGUACACACCGCCCGUCAAACCACGAAAGUUGGCAAUACCCAAAGCCGGUGGCCUAACUUGAGCAAUCAAGAAGGAGCCGUCUAAGGUAGGGUUGAUGAUUGGGGUUAAGUCGUAACAAGGUAUCCCUACCGGAAGGUGGGGAUGGAUCACCUCCUUUCU